UACGUAGGGUGCGAGCGUUGUCCGGAAUUAUUGGGCGUAAAGAGCUCGUAGGCGGUUUGUUGCGUCGGCCGUGAAAACCUGCAGCUUAACUGUGGGCCUGCGGCCGAUACGGGCAGACUUGAGUUCGGUAGGGGAGACUGGAAUUCCUGGUGUAGCGGUGAAAUGCGCAGAUAUCAGGAGGAACACCGGUGGCGAAGGCGGGUCUCUGGGCCGAUACUGACGCUGAGGAGCGAAAGCGUGGGGAGCAAACAGG
This 253-nucleotide ribosomal RNA is filed under the name uncultured bacterium. RNAcentral's name for it is "partial 16S ribosomal RNA". It matches the Rfam family "Bacterial small subunit ribosomal RNA", at positions 524 to 776 of the family's 1533-position model. The record is from RNAcentral.